This 253-nucleotide ribosomal RNA is filed under the name uncultured bacterium. RNAcentral's name for it is "partial 16S ribosomal RNA". It matches the Rfam family "Bacterial small subunit ribosomal RNA", at positions 524 to 776 of the family's 1533-position model. The record is from RNAcentral.
UACGAAAGGGGCUAGCGUUGUUCGGAAUUACUGGGCGUAAAGCGUGCGUAGGCGGCCGUCUAAGUCAGGUGUGAAAUCCCGGGGCUCAACCCCGGAACUGCAUUUAAGACUGGAUGCCUAGAGACCGCGAGAGGUGAGCGGAAUUCCGAGUGUAGAGGUGAAAUUCGUAGAUAUUCGGUAGAACACCAGUGGCGAAGGCGGCUAACUGGACCAUUACUGACGCUGAGGCGCGAAAGCGUGGGGAGCAAACAGG